UGGGGAAUUUUGGACAAUGGGCGAAGGCCUGAUCCAGCAAUGCCGCGUGUGUGAAGAAGGCCUUCGGGUUGUAAAGCACUUUUGUCCGGAAAGAAAUCCUUGGCUCUAAUACAGUCGGGGGAUGACGGUACCGGAAGAAUAAGCACCGGCUAACUACGUGCCAGCAGCCGCGGUAAUACGUAGGGUGCAAGCGUUAAUCGGAAUUACUGGGCGUAAAGCGUGCGCAGGCGGUUUGCUAAGACCGAUGUGAAAUCCCCGGGCUCAACCUGGGAACUGCAUUGGUGACUGGCAGGCUAGAGUAUGGCAGAGGGGGGUAGAAUUCCACGUGUAGCAGUGAAAUGCGUAGAGAUGUGGAGGAAUACCGAUGGCGAAGGCAGCCCCCUGGGCCAAUACUGACGCUCAUGCACGAAAGCGUGGGGAGCAAACAGGAUUAGAUACCCUGGUAGUCCACGCCCUAAAACGAUGUCAACUAGUUGUUGGGGGAUUCAUUUCCUUAGUAACGUAGCUAACGCGUGAAGUUGACCGCCUGGGGAGUACGGUCGCAAGAUUAAAACUCAAAUGAAUUGACGGGGUCAUAGCUGUUUCCU
This 587-nucleotide ribosomal RNA is filed under the name uncultured bacterium. RNAcentral describes it as "partial 16S ribosomal RNA". It matches the Rfam family "Bacterial small subunit ribosomal RNA", at positions 355 to 1375 of the family's 1533-position model. The record is from RNAcentral.